This 465-nucleotide ribosomal RNA is filed under the name uncultured bacterium. Its description in RNAcentral is "partial 16S ribosomal RNA". It matches the Rfam family "Bacterial small subunit ribosomal RNA", at positions 28 to 507 of the family's 1533-position model. The record is from RNAcentral.
GACGAACGCUGGCGGCGUGCUUAACACAUGCAAGUCGAACGGAAAGGCCCCUUUGGGGGUACUCGAGUGGCGAACGGGUGAGUAACACGUGAGUAACCUGCCCUUGACUUCGGGAUAACUUCAGGAAACUGGGGCUAAUACCGGAUAGGAAUCCUUGCUGCAUGGUGGGGGUUGGAAAGCUUCGGCGGAUUUGGAUGGACUCGCGGCUUAUCAGCUUGUUGGUGGGGUAGUGGCUUACCAAGGCUUUGACGGGUAGCCGGCCUGAGGGGGCGACCGGCCACAUUGGGACUGAGAUACGGCCCAGACUCCUACGGGAGGCAGCAGUGGGGAAUAUUGCACAAUGGGCGGAAGCCUGAUGCAGCAACGCCGCGUGCGGGAUGACGGCCUUCGGGUUGUAAACCGCUUUCAGCAGGGGCGAAGCUUGUGGUGACGGUACCUGCAGAAGAAGCACCGGCUAACUACGUG